GAUGAACGCUGGCGGCGUGCCUAAUACAUGCAAGUCGAACGAAACUUCUUUAUCACCGAGUGCUUGCACUCACCGAUAAAGAGUUGAGUGGCGAACGGGUGAGUAACACGUGGGCAACCUGCCCAAAAGAGGGGGAUAACACUUGGAAACAGGUGCUAAUACCGCAUAACCAUAGUUACCGCAUGGUAACUAUGUAAAAGGUGGCUAUACUACCGCUUUUGGAUGGGCCUGCGGCGCAUUAGCUAGUUGGUAGGGUAAAGGCUUACCAAGGCAAUGAUGCGUAGCCGAAUUGAGAGGUUGAUCGGCCACAUUGGGACUGAGACACGGCCCAAACUCCUACGGGAGGCAGCAGUAGGGAAUCUUCCACAAUGGGCGAAAGCCUGAUGGAGCAACGCCGCGUGGGUGAAGAAGGUCUUCGGAUCGUAAAACCCUGUUGUUAGAGAAGAAAGUGCGUGAGAGUAACUGUUCACGUUUCGACGGUAUCUAACCAGAAAGCCACGGCUAACUACGUG
This 512-nucleotide ribosomal RNA is filed under the name uncultured bacterium. Its description in RNAcentral is "partial 16S ribosomal RNA". It matches the Rfam family "Bacterial small subunit ribosomal RNA", at positions 28 to 507 of the family's 1533-position model. The record is from RNAcentral.